GCCGUUGCCCAGAAGGAAUGAACACAUAAAGCCAUACACGAUGAAAUCCAUAAACUGAUAUAAUAAAAGGAAUAAAGACUUUUUUUAACAAAGAAAAAAAUAAAAAAAAGAAGCUUUGAGUUGGUUCAAAAGAUUAUGACUAGACUUAUGUGAUUAAAAAACAGUUGAAUACAAAAAUAAAGAGUGGACGGCCAAGAGCCACAAAAGCCUAGAAAAAGGAAUUCAAGAUAGAAAAAAUAUGCUACCAAGUGACAAUCUCUAUCAAAUCCUUACCAAAAAAUUUCGAUUUUGAAUGAAAGUGCAAGACGCCAGUUACAGGCACUCCGCAGGGAGAAGAAACGAGAUAUGCAGUCUCUAUACAUUUUGCGCAAGCGAAUUUAUUGUAAAAGUUGAUAUGCAUUUUUUAAUAUCAGAUACUACACAAAACAUUUUCUGAUAAUCAUAAAACAUAAGACAUUUUCAACUUGCAUCUUAACUAAGCCAAAUUCUACAUCAAUGUUAUAAAUUUUAGCAUUAGCCAUAUUGGGGGAAAUCGAAAGCUAUUGAUAUUUUUAUAAUUGCAAAACGAUUUGAUAAUGUAGAGAAGAUAUUGGAAUAUGUUACUCUCAUCGAUGAGCAGAAUUAAAAGCUAUGGGAGAUAACGACUAUUGCUAUUGAAAACAAGAACUAGGCACGCAAAGAAAUAUAUACCUUCUUUACUAUAGUGCAUGGUAUUAGAGUUACUUAAAAGAUUAUUUUAACAACUUGCCGAUCACGAGGUGAUUCACAGAUUUAUAGCAUAAAUGAAAACCUACGGAUGUCUAGCAAUAAAGUUAGGAUUUUACUGAAAUUCGAGUCGACAAC
This is a non-coding RNA of Schizosaccharomyces pombe (fission yeast), 843 nucleotides long. The record is from the annotation of a GenBank genome assembly. Lineage: Eukaryota; Fungi; Ascomycota; Schizosaccharomycetes; Schizosaccharomycetales; Schizosaccharomycetaceae.